Molecule: long non-coding RNA, 1488 nt
Filed under: Homo sapiens (human)
Lineage: Eukaryota; Metazoa; Chordata; Mammalia; Primates; Hominidae
Description: non-protein coding lnc-FEZF2-6:1
Source: RNAcentral
GGAAAUAAUGAGAAGUUUUGGUAAACAAGUGCGUGCAAGAGAAUCAAUUAUGGUAUUACCGAGUAACAUGGAAAACUGUAUAUGAGCCCUAGUUAAUUCAAAGAAAAGCAACAAAGUAGAAGUUAAGGUGUCAUUUGACUUUAAUGUAAUGUGCGUAUGUAUAUGAGAUUGGACCAUGUAGAAUUGCACCUAAUUGACUGCUUUUUAUCUGCAAAAUGAUAAUUUUAUAUGGACAACCUAAGAUGUAUACAUAGAAACAGACUGAAAGAUUAUCCACCUAUAGUUUUCUGGGCGGAAGAAAUAGAAUAACUUUUACCCUUUUCCGUAUGUUCAUUAUUUACAAUGAACAUAUUUUAACCUGCAAUGAGAAAAAUGAUGCAGGGUUUUUAGAACGAAAGAAAGGCUUUCCCAUUCAAAUUAUGUUUCUCAAUGAUAAAAAUACACAAAGAAUACACAUGUAGCUCUCUUUGGAGGGGACGGGACCUCCUGUGAGAAACUUGGAGAAUUGUUUUUCUAUUGGCAAGGCCAUUUCUGUUACGGCAAUGGAUGUAGAGAGCUGCAGCCAAGGGACAUUGGGUAUUCUUUCCCAUUGGUGACUCCAUCUCCCCUGACGCUGUUUAACAUUCAGUUCAUCAGAUGAACUCCUCUUGUUCAGAUUCCUUACAUGUCAGAUUGCUGCCUGAUUAGGAUUUGGUUUUGCAGGGAAGACAUUUACAGGAAGGGAAUGAAUGUAUUGGUCUUUCUGACAUCUGUGCAACAGCUAUACUGCAAAUCGUAGACUACUACUUUGACAUUCUGGUUUUAUAUGUUGGUCUCAUGAGUGUGUUUAAUGAAGUCCAUCUCAUGAGAAAUGGAUUCCAUACUGUGUGUUGAGAAAACCAAGGCCAAGGGGGCUGAAGCCUGGUAUAGGGGACCAUGUAAAGUGUGGAUGACUUUCAGCUGGGCUUCUGGGGAGAAAGCCUGCUGCCCUUCCUCAUACAGCAUUCUACAUAGCACAACACAGUAGGAAGCUUAAGUCUUUUCCUAUUUGGACUCUGCCCCUUUCCAACUCUCAAGUUCUGCAAUUCUUUGACUUUUCUGUCUUCAGCCCUUGCUUCCUCUGCUUUUCUCACUGCUUUUGUCACCUAGCAGAAACAGUGGUGAGAGACUGCUACACAAGAGACAUUGUUUGCUGCUGGUAUUUAACUUUCUCCUGGAGUUUUCUGUGGAUGACAUUGAUUUAUGGUGCAAAGGGCCCUCUGCUUUGGAGCUGACCUGUAGAGAAACAGAGUCCCUCAGGCCUUCUGUGAGGCUGGGACCCCCUUGUUCCAGCGACAGGGAUUGGUAUUUAUGUGAGACUGUGGGAUAUCCCCCUAGAGCCAGGUGAUUCCUGCAGUGACAAUGUGAAGAAAAGUAGCAGAGGGCCGGGCGUGGUGGCUCACCCCUGUAAUCCCAGCACUUUGGGAGGCUAAGGCAGGCGGAUCACAAGGUCAGGAGUUGAAGACCAGC